AAACAAGGUGAUUGAUACGGUGACUUUAAUCACCAAGCAGCUUUAUCUAGAAGAACCACAAAUUGCUCCUCAGCUACUCAGAAAGAGAGGGGCUUGAUGGCCAUCUCUGAGGAUUAGCAACGUGGAGCAUCAGGACAGGUGAGGUGGUGGGGAGGUGGUCAGCAGAGACUCCAGUCCCCAGGGGGCUCCUGAGACACCUUAACUCUCGUAAACUUGUGCUCCUGGAUCUCCUGGGAGUCCUGUUUGAGUCUCUGCCCUUUUUAGUAUUUUUUGGCCACACCAUACAUCGUGUAGGACCUUAUUUCCUGGACCAGGGAUCAAACCCACGCCCCCUGCAGUGGAAGCUUGGAGUCUUACCCACUGAACCACCAGGUAAGCACCCUCCCGCCUGAGUCUCUGCCUUUUGAUAGGAGAGUGGAAGACAUUAACCUUUAUUGUACUGUUUGUUUAGACUUACUUGGCCAUCUUAUUUUAAUUCAUCAUGAUUUCAUUGUGUUACAUUUUUAAAUUGAUCAAAGUAUCUAUUUCAUUUCCCCCCCUCAACUGCUUUGAAAAUUAUGCCUUCUGUCUCUGUUUGCCUAAUGAAUAACUGUAUAUUUUCAACACACAUACUUAGUUUUCUAAUAAUGUUUAUUGUUUAACAGCAUCUCUGUUCCAGCCUGGUCUUUGCGAAAGCUGAUAAAUCCCCGAGGCAGGGAUUAGGGAGUGGGGGAGGGGCCCCAGCACUGUCUCUGUUUCUGCAUAUGACCUUUAUUUAUCCUUAGAGCUGCCUGGAAAGAAGGGUUCGUCCUUCCAUUCAUGGAUGAGUUAAGUGACGCUCAAGAGCCGAAGAUGGUGGUCCAGGGCUUAUCAGCAAGUGGGCGGCCAAGCAGGAGUUCUAAGUCCUGGCUCUUUCUGCCAUUUUUUGUCUGUCUGUCUGUACGGUUCACCACUUGUCUGUACUUCCUCAACAAAGAGCCAGUGAGCUGGAGUAUGAAGACAGAGUCAGAGGUCACCCUUGCUGAUCCGUAGAGAACAGCCUUGGUUGAGGCCACAGACAUUCCAUGAAAGGCACUGUCCAUGAUGCCUUGGAGCUCGUGAGUGGGUUUACUGUGGGACAAACCCCUGAGUUUGGAAUUGUGCGUGAGAGAGUGGAGGAGGGUUCGAGUCCCAGCUGUCUUCAGAGGAGCGCGUUCUCCGAGGCGUGUGUGUCGCUGCCACCCCAGCCGUGACAGGCUUAGCGCACGUCGUCCCGGAGCUCCAUCAAACUGAAGACUGUCUUUUAAACACAGCAGCAGGAAGAGCCUCGAGAGAGGCCCCAACCCGGCGGGGUGGGGAGCUCCUAGCGGGGCUGCAUGCUGAGCCUGGAGAAGCUGGUUACCCACCUCCCGGCCACCCACCCGCAUCGCCCCGCUUCAGAUAAGACUCGGGAAGAGCGGUCAGACUCCUUAAUUAAAGCCGUGCUACCAGAUAUGGUGGAGUGUUUUUCCUUUUAAUAGCUUCAGUGAGACAUAAUUAACAUACUAUACAAUUCUCCCUUUUAAAGUGUACGAGUCAAUGCUUUUCAGCACAUUCACAGAGUUUUACAAUCAAUUUUGGAGUAUUUUCAUUACCCCAUAAAGAAAUCUUCAUCUACCCACCGGUCACCCAGCCCCUCCCCUCAGCUGCCGCUGGCCGGUUUCUCUCUCUGUGGAUUUGUCCAUUCUGGACCUUUCGUGUAAAUGGAGCCCUGCAAUAGCUGGUCCUUUGUGAUGGGCUUCUUCUACUUAGCAUCAUGUUUUCAGGGCUCGUCCAUAUAGCAGGUGUCAGUAUUGUAUUCUUUUUUUAUUAACAAGUAAAUAUUCAUUACUUUGUCAACAGAGGUCCGUCUAGUCAAGGCUGUGGUUUUUCCUGUGGUCAUGUAUGGAUGUGAGAGUUGGACUGUGAAGACGGCUGAGCGCUGAAGAAUUGAUGCUUUUGAACUGUGGUGUUGGAGAAGACUCUUGAGAGUCCCUUGGACUGCAAGGAGAUCCAACCAGUCCAUUCUGAAGGA
RNAcentral lists this long non-coding RNA (2011 nucleotides) under Bos indicus x Bos taurus (hybrid cattle). Its description in RNAcentral is "lncRNA (ENSBIXG00000000231.1)". Lineage: Eukaryota; Metazoa; Chordata; Mammalia; Artiodactyla; Bovidae. The record is from RNAcentral.